UAAGUUAGAACCUUGUUUGGUGAAAUGCAUUCAUUUUUCGGCCAAAAUAAAAAUUUUUGGGACAGAUUUAUCUGGCAGACUAAUGAUGAUUAGAAAACCAUCCAGCCUUUCUUAUAUUUUGAAUUAGGAGGAGGUUGGGGCAGAGUUGCCACAGACUUUAGAAAAUAAAUAUCCCUGAUUUCCCUGACAAAGUUUGGGAAAAAUCCCUGACAAUUGAAGAUAUGCUAGACGGUAAUAAUAUUUUUCCGAAGAACUUUGUUGUUUGAAACGUCAAACUCAUUUCAGAAAGUGAUGAGGGCAACUUAACAAUUUUUUCCUGACACGUUCGUCAUUCGUCCUAACAUUUCCAGGUUUUUCCUGAUAUUUCCCGAUAUUCCCUGACUGGGGCAGCCCUGUUGGGAUUAUUUGAGUGAGAGGAUUAAAAAAGUAAAACGUAUGUACUGGAUUUAUGAACAAAUGCAGACUUGGAUACUUAAAAAUUCUUGGUUCAAAGCUUUUUCACAGUAGUUUUACUCAGGCUCUCCAUCUCUAGUAUCAGGAUAAAAAGUGAAACUUUCUCUAAAAAAAUGUUCGAGUAUACAUUAAACCAAGGUAAGAGUAACGUGAUUAAAGUAGGUGCCUCUGAUUAAUAAUUUGGACGAGAUUAGAGAGAGAAGCUUUUGUUAUUUAUCAGGGUUUAAAGUGCAGUGACAGCAGAAAAAUGGUUGGGAAGGGAGGGGGGGAGAUAAGAUACAAGGAGUGGAUUUUGACAUUCAGUUGAGAAUGUGCUACUCCAGUUUCUAGUAUUAAAUUAUUUUACUGGCUAUGAAAUAUCAAAUUUACCUUACUAUCAGCCAGAUUGUUUGUGCAUUAAACCAGUUGUGUGGCCGUUCGAUGGCCCGGAUUAACUUCUAAAUCUCCUGCCCUAAAAUUCGACUGAAACAGCGUUUUUGAGAUCACAAGGGACAUCUGGGUAACAUCAAUCCAAGGUGACAGUUCACAGCAAUAGCAGAUCUCUCUCACUUGAGUCUGUGCAUACUGCUCCUCCUCUAGGUGCAAAUGUGGAACAGUAAACUGCAAGUUGCAACUACACGGCCUUGGAUGGAAAAAAGGUAAACAUCUAGCACUCAGCUGAUGCAUUACUGGAAUUGUUGACCAUUUUAACUGACCAAAAAGACAAACAACUUGUCAACUUGAAAGCAUUAAGCAGCAAAAAUGCUGGUGUCAUGAGGAACAGAGAAAUCGAAGAUGCUGUGUGGGCAUGGAGGAGGUUUUCACACCUGGGGCUAAUUAUCUUGUUCCGCCUGUCUAUAAGUAGGAGAGAGGGAGAAAUAGAGGAGAGAGCAAGAGAAAGAGGGGGGGGGAGGGCAUUGACAGAGAUAAAUGGUUAGUGAGUUAAGACAAGUUAAUGGCUUUCAUUUCAUGAGGAAUAAUUUAACAUCCAAGUCGGCAUCUAAACUUAAUUUGGAAAGAGAGAUAAAUUUCCUAGAUUCCCCUUGAUAAGGUACUCUCUUCUUGCUUUACAUAACUUGUAUAUGACAUGGGUACAAGUAAACCUUAAAAAAGAGAACCCUCCUCAAAGGAAUAAUUAUAAAUACUUUUAAGUUAAAUGAGGGGGGGGGGAGGUGCAAAUACUUAAAUAUUUUUAGUUUCUGACCUUUUAUUGGUCUUACCCAUUUUUCAGUGGAAUAUAUUCUUCACUGAUAGACUACAGCAACCUCCCUUCACUUAUUCAUCGGCCCUUCAACUAAUACCAAAUAAAUACUUUACAUCCUGAGAUCAUGGUACAGAAGUACAAUUAAAUUUUGGCAAAGCCAUAAUUACUACAUUUUAUGAUUGACUGCAAAAGUCCUUUUCCUAGGUGCCUAGGGUUUUUUUAAAAAAGAAAAAAAAAAUACCCCUACAAAUCACUUUUAUGAUUGAGUAUAUUUAGACAGAAAGAGGAUCUUGCUUGAUUUUCAUUAAGAGGACAGAUAAUUGUUAGGAAGAAAAACAGAUUAAAAAAUGAAAGAAAAAAACUGUCCGAUAAAAAAAUCUUAGGGAGCCACCCGCCUUUCCCGACUGAGAGGCAAGAGUAAAAACAUCCUACUUAGCAUCACAUGAGUAAGUAAUAGCUCAUCAGUUUUAGCUCAUCAGUUCGAUACUGUGAACUGAAUUCUUCCGACUGAGAAAGAAUCAAGGGUAUAGAGGUGCAAUUGUGCCAGAUGGAAAAGUAGAAAUCAUCAGACUUGAAGAAUUAUAAGACUUGGCAAUACUGUUAGAAAUGUUGUUGCAAUCUCUUGACUUGGUGGGGACAUUGGAGGACAAAAAUAGCCCAUGAAGGAGGAGGUUAAUCUUAAAAUCGGUUUUUGAAUAUACUUUUUUGCUCAAAUACACUCAAAAUUCAGCUAUGAACCUCUUCAUGAAAUUGAAUAAGAACAGUUCAAGUCAACAAAAGCUAAAUUAUUUGGGGAACAGGAACCCUGAAAAUCAAUGAGUGCUGUAUUAAUAGCCCUGUCAGGAAGAUGAGUGAACGCUCACAAGCAGAACAUUGACAUAAAAACCAACCUCAUGGCAAUCAGCCCAAAUUUUAAUGCAAUCCCAAGCUCUUUCUCUUGCUAGUGAAAUUCUCAACUCAAUCAGGGAAAAGCUCAGUAAAUAAUGCUCAGAAGUUGGCUUGUCUGAAAACAUGCUAUUACUUUAUCACAUAACGACUUCAAAAACCUCAGGGAAAAAUUAAAAUCAUUAAAGAAAAAAAUCAAGGUACCUACUCCUUAUAAAUCUUCUGUGCAUAAGUGCUGCUUUUAGAAAGAUCAAAGCAGAAAAGUAAAAAAACAAAAAUCAGAGCUUGUCCUCCAGUUAAAAAAAAAAGGACAGGAGAAAAUAAUGUUUACCACUCUUUAUGAUACUUGAAGAGAAUUCUUUUCAACUACUUCUAAUUUUUCUAGGUAAAAGGAAGAAGGAGGUAUUUCAUAAUUUUUGAGGGUUUCUUUUCGAUGAAGGGAAGGAAUGAAUAAAAUGUAACAAGGAACUGGAAGUGCUGAGUUGUAUCAUUAGAAAAUACUUCUUCGAUGAUGAGAAAAGAAUAAGAGACAAAACUGCCAUGAAAUAAAGAUAUAACGAUGAUAAUUCACUACUGAUUUUAUAUCAUCGAAUGAUUGGCACAAGUCUCUUUUAAUGUUUUAGAGUGGGAACCACUGUAGUUUAUAAAAAAAAGGCGAAGUCCUCUGACAAUCUCCCCCCCCUUCCCCCCGAUCCACUUUAGCAGAUUUAAAAAGACAUUACUGAGCAUUAUUGUACUUGCAGAGGAAAAUCUGAGGAAUAUGAGUAAAAUUUGAAAAUAAGUACUUAUUUUCCAAAAAAUGAUUUUAACUUCAGGCUUAAAUUAUAAUCAGCCUAACUACAUUUCGUGUUGCCUAAUUUUCUCUAAUGUUCCCUAUUUUAAACAGAGAAUUAAACUACAUACUUAAUACUUUUAAAAUUUCUGUGAAUUUACUUUCCAUUAAGAAGAAUAUACUCACACAAUUUUAAGUUCCAGAGCUGUUUAGUUUUCUGUUUAAAAAAUGAUCCCUGAGAAAAAAUUGGCGACGUCUGAUGUAGUUUAGUUAGUUCUAGUUGAAGGACUGUAUAUAUAGAGAAGGAUGAAAACUAGAAUUUAAAAGCUUACCAAGAACAGGUUCAUUUUUUACGCCGAAAUCACUGAUUCCAGCUUCGGGUAGCACUGACCCAAAAUGACGACAGCAGACCCUGGACAAAAGAAACAUUGCAUAUUUAGCAUUAAAGAUUGCCUCAGCAGUAAUUAUUACUGAGAAGGAAAAACUUUAUUGAUAUGAAAGUUAAAUAAAAUAAAAAAAAUCCAGGACUAGAACUGAGAACUGUAAUUCUGUUGAGAUUUGAUUUGAACAUUUAUUUUGCAAGAUUUGGGCACAGCUGAGUAAGCAUAAUUGAUGAAUUCAAUAAAAUCAUAUUUUCUCUCUAUCAUAACAAUUUUUUGGUCUAGGUACUAAAAUCAUUUAAAAAAAAAAAAAAAAAAAAAAAAAAAAAAAAAAAAAAAAAAAUUAUCUAAGUAAGUACCUAGACUAACUUUGAGUUAAAAAACUAUUCUUAGUCCUGUACUGCAAAAUGAUUUUAUUAAAUGAAACACGCUCUUUGGAGGGAAAAAGAAACUGAUAUUCCAGUCACAAAAACCAUGUUUCUUUUAUUGGGAUGAAGUCAAAUUAGUUAUAUUGUUCUAGGAACUUGGCUCCUUGUCUUGGGCUGUUGCCCUUCAUGUUACCCUAGGUCAUGUAUUGUUGAAUGAGAGAUUCAAUAAACAUAAGAUUGAGCCUAUACCAAUUCAAAAGCCAAAAAUAGAUUCUGGCUAAGAAAACAUAAAAGUUCAAAAAGGCUACUGAGCUACUUCAUUAUUUUUGGAACUAGACACGUAUGGUGAGUGGAUUGACAAUAAAUCCUUCACAUGUAGAAACAAUCAACUAACAAACUGUGAGACAUGGUUGCCACAGAAUUUAGAAAAUGAAAUUCCCUCACACUUGCGGCUGUACUAGAUGAUCGAAAAGAGAAAUAAAAAUCAACACUUCCAAACCCAAGCAUGUAACAUUUUAAUUCUGAGUGUCAAAUAACUUUUUAGGAAAGCAAAUAGAGCUGAUUUAACAAUUUUUCCCCAACACUUUCACCAUUUUACUUGACAUUUCCAGGUUUUCCCUGGCUGUGGCAAUUGUCAUGCUGGUUGACAUUGUCUGUAAAAUAAAAUAUAUUGAAAAUACUCAUAACUAAAAGAAAAUGACUGCGUAACUUAGUUGGCGUCAGUUAUCGUCUCAGUCAAUUUUUCCUGGUAGGAGAGUGUGGGAAGGUGAGAAAUAAGUACAGGAAAAUUUAUUGACACAUAACUAAAAACACUAAAGAGGCUGUAUGUAAAUUGCUGUGUUGCCAACCUUGGCACUUUACCUUCUGCAUAUCGCUUAUCGACGGUGUAAGUCGGCAAUCACAUAACUCGGUUUGCGACGUAGCAAACUUCCUGUCAUACUUUAUUUUUUAAUUGGGAAACUACUCAAUAGCAAUGCUUUAAAGCUGCCGUAAUUUUUCUCCUCUGUGAGAAGAAAAUUCCGAAAAAAACUUCAAGGAAUGAUGUCAAUUUGUUCUCCUUUAAAAAAAAUAUCAUUGAAGCGGAGAUUUUCAGACACCGCAAACGAAAUAUGUGAUUACAGAGUUACGCUGUCGUUAUGGUACACAAUUCCUUUGGCUCAAACAAAUUUGUUUCAUUAAAAUUAACUGACUUUAUUUUCACAGGAAACCAUGAUGUUCCUACAAAAGCAUCUGACAAUAUCUCAUCGAUAAAUCCAUUUUGUUAAAAACCAUGCUAGUAAUAUCUUUCCAAGUAGAGAGUGCGAUAUAAAGUUUGAAACAUUAAGAAUCAGAAUGUAUGUUUUUUAGUUCUGUUACACUUCAUAUAUUUUUGAACUGACAACUUUCAUAAGUUCUACUUAAAAUAACAUAUUCUAAGGAUGCAGGUGUUCUAUGGAAUCAUCUUUGAAAACUGCAAAGUAUAGUAAAAAAAUAAAACAAUCGAUCAAGGCAGUAUUAAAAAUAUGCUACAAAGAUUUUAAUACUUUACUACUUGUAAAAACAGCGCUUUCAUGAAUACCAUUUUAAAAUGGGUCAAGCUUGAAAGCUUGCUUUGGAACCCAUAAAUCUGCUCCUGAUGAGGAAUUCUACUUCAUAGUAGUAAUUAAUUAAGUGUGAAGAUAGCAGAUACUGACUGGAUGUUACUAAGUUGCCUUACAACUUUUUAAAACCUCUUCCAGAUUGCAAUAGUUGAGAACUAUCUUAGGACAGUAUCUGGUUGUGAUCAAAUUUGAGUCAAUACAGAACCUUUACGCAAACUGGAGAUCUUAAAACAGGCCUGAAAAAUUUUAGACUAGGUAGAAUGCGACAUUCUCUUAUAGAGUAAAUAAAAAUUGGGGUCUUCAUGAAAAAUAAUACCUAUCUCCUGAUAUGGUACAGAUGGAGAAAUAAGAGAUAUGGAUUGGAAUAUUGCAGGUGGGAAAAGUUCAGGGUUUAGCACCUUAUUGGCAGCAUAGAUCCAAAGUACUUAGCUCCCAUUCCUUAGAACCAGGCAUUUCAAUGAUAAUAAAAAUUUCUUGAGACCACAUGCGAACUACCGUUCUUACACUUGAACUUGGACCCACUGGAUGGAUCGAGGUCCUUUGGUAUUGAAUUUGUUGAGUUAGAAUUAAGACAAAAGCAUUUCUGUUUAAAAGUAUAGUAUUAGUUGCGUACUGAAUGAGUUAAUGAAUAUAGAUUGAAUGCCUACUCAAGAUGCAACUCUGCGCCGCUGUCUCGAAAUCGACUCACCCGACUAAUGUUUGAGAUUAGAGACAAAUUAGAGCAAGCGAUAUGAAGAGAGUACCUUUAUUGAAGUAAAUAACGUUUAGCAAAAAACUUAAAUCAAUAAAGGGAGCAGAGCCGAAUGUGGGGGCAGUUCAAACAAACUGACCCACAGACCAAAAAGUAUUGUUUGGAUUUUGAUGUAUUUUAGCCUUGACUGUCAUUAGAAAACCAUCGGAUUAAUAACGCCGAAACUAAAGAGUUAAGGACAUGUACUUUGAAUUACCUUUGGAAGUAUCCAUGGGUGCACACUUUACUAACGGACAACAUGAUUAAUUACUAACUAGGAUAGUAAAUUUUAAACAUUAACGUCAUAAAACACACGAUUCCUUUCAAAAAUAA
This is a non-coding RNA of Bemisia tabaci, 6684 nucleotides long. The record is from RefSeq and is a predicted model, not a curated record. NCBI's taxonomy places the organism in Eukaryota, Metazoa, Arthropoda, Insecta, Hemiptera, Aleyrodidae.